AAAUUGAAGAGUUUGAUCAUGGCUCAGAUUGAACGCUGGCGGCAGGCCUAACACAUGCAAGUCGAACGGUAACAGGAARMAGCUUGCUUCUUUGCUGACGAGUGGCGGACGGGUGAGUAAUGUCUGGGAAACUGCCUGAUGGAGGGGGAUAACUACUGGAAACGGUAGCUAAUACCGCAUAACGUCGCAAGACCAAAGAGGGGGACCUUCGGGCCUCUUGCCAUCRGAUGUGCCCAGAUGGGAUUAGCUAGUAGGUGGGGUAACGGCUCACCUAGGCGACGAUCCCUAGCUGGUCUGAGAGGAUGACCAGCCACACUGGAACUGAGACACGGUCCAGACUCCUACGGGAGGCAGCAGUGGGGAAUAUUGCACAAUGGGCGCAAGCCUGAUGCAGCC
RNAcentral lists this ribosomal RNA (396 nucleotides) under Escherichia coli. RNAcentral's name for it is "bacterial SSU rRNA". It matches the Rfam family "Bacterial small subunit ribosomal RNA", at positions 1 to 393 of the family's 1533-position model. Lineage: Bacteria; Pseudomonadati; Pseudomonadota; Gammaproteobacteria; Enterobacterales; Enterobacteriaceae. The record is from RNAcentral.